RNAcentral lists this ribosomal RNA (1551 nucleotides) under Triticum aestivum (bread wheat). Its description in RNAcentral is "partial small subunit ribosomal RNA". The record is from RNAcentral. Lineage: Eukaryota; Viridiplantae; Streptophyta; Magnoliopsida; Poales; Poaceae.
AUGGCGCAGCAGCAGCAGGCUGACGCGCCGCCACUUGGUUUCUUCGAGCGGAUAUCCACCUGUGACGUGUCCUUAAGGAAGCGGCAGCAGCGCGACAACGCCGCCAUGGCCUCCUCCGACCCUGCGCUGCCGCCUCCGCUUCUUUUGCUGCCACCACCGGUGCCGGAGCAGGCGCUCGUCCCACCGCCGGCCAGAGCCAACCCGAGGCCCACAGUGUUGGACGGCGUCCUGAGUCUGCUCAGGUCCGGGGAGUCGUUCAUUCGCGGAGCCUUCCGGGGCAACUCCCGACGUGCGUCUCCUCCAUGGCCGCCGACGUCUCAGCAGCAGCAACAGCAGCCGCCGCCGCAGCAGCACCACCGCAACCACCCUGGUGAAAUCAUGAAGCGGCUGCAGCGCGAGACGUUCCCUGAUGUGAUGAGGCUCAUGGACAAGCACGAGCAGAUCGACCGCAUCCUUUCCAUGUACAGGAGCGGCAAGGGGUUCCACUUCCCGGAGCUCCCCGUCCGGGUGAAGGUCGCGCUUGACGCGGUCGGGGCGCUGCUCCUCGUCAACGACGAGGAGUUCGACCACGCCAGGGAGAUCCUCGGCAAGGCGGGGAACAGGACGGGCCUCAACUCCAGGUUCGUCCUCGAGUCCAAGACCAGGGGAAACGACACCAUUGCAGCAGAGUUCUGCACCAAGCUCGGGAUAGGGGCGACCCUCGGGGAAGAAGACACCGAGAGGAGGCCGCUGGAGCUGACCAGGCUGCAGUACUGCGCCCACGUCAACCACUGGCUGUCCAUGAUCCUAGUUCCCUUCGGAGCUCAAUGCAACGGCUUCCUGCACGGCACGAGCUUGAUCCAGAAUCUCCGGAGCCAGGCCUCUCUCGACGGCCCGCCUUCGUUCUCGGAACAACACAACUGCGCCGCUGGUUUGAGUAUGAGGGGGUCCAACUUCACCGUGUUGCUCGCCGAGCUUGUCUUCGGUUCAGGAGCACAGGACGGCGAUCAUAUGGUGGCUAACCGCAUGACAACGUUUGGGCAGGUGCGCUACGAACCAGCCCAAGAUGUCAAGCUCAGCUUGUCGGGGCUAUGGCAGAUCCGCCCGUUGCUGUCCCGGUUCAACAACCUCGGGACACUUGCCAUUCCCUUUGGCAGCCUAAAACCACAAAGGGGCACUCCUCCUCCGGACAUUCUUCUUGCUCCCAUGGCGAGGAACGACCCUGCGGCACACGGACCGCAGCCCAGGCCUGUGCAGUCAAUCGCUGCUGCGAUGGUGGAGUGUGAGCUGUUUGAAGCCAUGAGAGCACAAGGCUGGGUAGAGAUGGAAGGGUGGUCCGGGCAUGGGCCGGUGCGGUGGGGCUGCUGCCUGUCCGACACCCCUGAGCAUGAGCUGGGAUGGGGAGUGAGGAUGGGCGGUGCGGCGGAGGGGGAUACGCACGGCCCGCACCUGGAAGGAUUCCUCAGCUUCAACCUCGGCAGGGGCGGCAAGCUGCAGCCUGGCCUGGUGUAUGUCAUGGAGGGGGAGAAGCGGACUCCGGCGUUGGUCCUGCGGUCGACCUGGUUCAUGUGA